This 73-nucleotide microRNA precursor is filed under the name Pteropus vampyrus (large flying fox). RNAcentral describes it as "miRNA (ENSPVAG00000027274.1)". Lineage: Eukaryota; Metazoa; Chordata; Mammalia; Chiroptera; Pteropodidae. The record is from RNAcentral.
GGGCUGGGCUGGGCUGGGCUGGGCAGGGCCUGGCUUCGCCUCCACCGGCCAUGAGUCUCAGUCCUCCUUACCU